GCGGGAGUAGUUCAACUUCAGAACACAUUCCUUCCCGAAUGAGGUAUAGGUAAGUCCUAUCUUCCGCUCCA
Molecule: transfer RNA, 71 nt
Filed under: Staphylococcus xylosus
Lineage: Bacteria; Bacillati; Bacillota; Bacilli; Caryophanales; Staphylococcaceae
Description: tRNA-OTHER
Source: RNAcentral